Molecule: ribosomal RNA, 366 nt
Filed under: uncultured eukaryote
Lineage: Eukaryota
Description: partial 18S ribosomal RNA
Rfam family: Eukaryotic small subunit ribosomal RNA
Source: RNAcentral
CAAUAGCGUAUAUUAACGUUGUUGCAGUUAAAAAGCUCGUAGUUGGAUUUCUGGAGGGAGCGUCGGCCCGUAUUUACGAGUGCGUGACGUCUCUGUCCAUCCUUGCGGGAAGGCACGGCAUUGAUUUGUUGUGUCGGAUCGCAUCAUUUACUGUGAAAAAAUUAGAGUGUUCAAAGCAGGCUUUCGCUUGAAUACAUUAGCAUGGAAUAAUAAGAUAGGACUUUGGUGCUAUUUUGUUGGUUGAGCCUAAAGUAAUGAUUAAUAGGGAUAGUUGGGGGCACCUGUAUUGCGUUGUCAGAGGUGAAAUUCUUGGAUUUACGCAAGACAAACAGCUGCGAAANCGNNNGCCAAGGAUGUUUNCAUNAA